UUGAACGCUGGCGGCAGGCCUAACACAUGCAAGUCGAGCGGAUGAAGGGAGCUUGCUCCUGGAUUCAGCGGCGGACGGGUGAGUAAUGCCUAGGAAUCUGCCUGGUAGUGGGGGAUAACGUCCGGAAACGGGCGCUAAUACCGCAUACGUCCUGAGGGAGAAAGUGGGGGAUCUUCGGACCUCACGCUAUCAGAUGAGCCUAGGUCGGAUUAGCUAGUUGGUGGGGUAAAGGCCUACCAAGGCGACGAUCCGUAACUGGUCUGAGAGGAUGAUCAGUCACGCUGGAACUGAGACACGGUCCAGACUCCUACGGGAGGCAGCAGUGGGGAAUAUUGGACAAUGGGCGAAAGCCUGAUCCAGCCAUGCCGCGUGUGUGAAGAAGGUCUUCGGAUUGUAAAGCACUUUAAGUUGGGAGGAAGGGCAGUAAGUUAAUACCUUGCUGUUUUGACGUUACCAACAGAAUAAGCACCGGCUAACUUCGUG
RNAcentral lists this ribosomal RNA (483 nucleotides) under uncultured bacterium. RNAcentral describes it as "partial 16S ribosomal RNA". It matches the Rfam family "Bacterial small subunit ribosomal RNA", at positions 30 to 507 of the family's 1533-position model. The record is from RNAcentral.